AUACGUAGGGGGCGAGCGUUGUCCGGAAUGAUUGGGCGUAAAGGGCGCGUAGGCGGCGCGGUAAGUCUGGAGUGAAAGUCCUGCUUUCAAGGUGGGAAUUGCUAUGGAUACUGCCGCGCUUGAGUGCAGGAGAGGUUAUCGGAAUUCCCGGUGUAGCGGUGACAUGCGUAGAGAUCGGGAGGAACACCAGUGGCGAAGGCGGGUAACUGGACUGCAACUGACGCUGAGGCGCGAAAGUGUGGGGAGCAAACAGGAUUAGAUACCCUGGUAGUCCACACUGUAAACGAUGAAUGCUAGGUGUAAGAGGUAUCGACCCCUUUUGUGCCGGAGUCAACACAAUAAGCAUUCCGCCUGGGGAGUACGGCCGCAAGGUUGAAACUUAAAGGAAUUGGCGGGG
RNAcentral lists this ribosomal RNA (397 nucleotides) under uncultured bacterium. RNAcentral describes it as "partial 16S ribosomal RNA". It matches the Rfam family "Bacterial small subunit ribosomal RNA", at positions 523 to 918 of the family's 1533-position model. The record is from RNAcentral.